This 73-nucleotide transfer RNA is filed under the name Camelus bactrianus (Bactrian camel). It matches the Rfam family "tRNA". Rfam says of the family: Transfer RNA (tRNA) molecules are approximately 80 nucleotides in length. Their secondary structure includes four short double-helical elements and three loops (D, anti-codon, and T loops). Further hydrogen bonds mediate the characteristic L-shaped molecular structure. tRNAs have two regions of fundamental functional importance: the anti-codon, which is responsible for specific mRNA codon recognition, and the 3' end, to which the tRNAs corresponding amino acid is attached (by aminoacyl-tRNA synthetases). tRNAs cope with the degeneracy of the genetic code in two manners: having more than one tRNA (with a specific anti-codon) for a particular amino acid; and 'wobble' base-pairing, i.e. permitting non-standard base-pairing at the 3rd anti-codon position. Lineage: Eukaryota; Metazoa; Chordata; Mammalia; Artiodactyla; Camelidae. RNAcentral also lists the same sequence under 2 other names. The record is from Rfam by way of RNAcentral.
GGGUAUAUAGCUCAAGUGGUAGAGCACAUGCUUAGCAUAAACACGAUCCUGGGUUCAAUCCCCAGUACCUCCU